This 266-nucleotide ribosomal RNA is filed under the name Skeletonema menzelii. RNAcentral describes it as "partial Eukaryotic small subunit ribosomal RNA". It matches the Rfam family "Eukaryotic small subunit ribosomal RNA", at positions 739 to 1003 of the family's 1831-position model. The record is from RNAcentral. Lineage: Eukaryota; Bacillariophyta; Thalassiosirophyceae; Thalassiosirales; Thalassiosiraceae.
UGGGCCGGCACGUUUACUUUGAACAAAUUAGAGUGCUAAAAGCAGGCCUCACGCCUGAAUAUUGUGUGCAUGGAAUAAUAGAAUAGGACCUCGGUUCUAUUUUGUUGGUUUUCGGAACCCCGAGGUAAUGAUUAAUAGGGACAGACGGGGGCAUUCGUACUGCGACGUUAGAGGUGAAAUUCUUGGAUCGUCGCAAGACGAACUACUGCGAAAGCAUUUGCCAAGAAUGUUUUCAUUAAUCAAGAACGAAAGUUGGGGGCUCGAAG